RNAcentral lists this ribosomal RNA (253 nucleotides) under uncultured bacterium. RNAcentral's name for it is "partial 16S ribosomal RNA". It matches the Rfam family "Bacterial small subunit ribosomal RNA", at positions 524 to 776 of the family's 1533-position model. The record is from RNAcentral.
UACGUAGGGUGCGAGCGUUAAUCGGAAUUACUGGGCGUAAAGCGUGCGCAGGCGGUUUGCUGUGUCCGCUGUGAAAGCCCCGGGCUUAACCUGGGAAUGGCAUUGGAAACUGGCGGGCUUGAGUGCGGCAGAGGGGGGUGGAAUUCCGCGUGUAGCAGUGAAAUGCGUAGAGAUGCGGAGGAACACCGAUGGCGAAGGCAGCCCCCUGGGUCGACACUGACGCUCAGGCACGAAAGCGUGGGGAGCAAACAGG